This 810-nucleotide ribosomal RNA is filed under the name Triticum aestivum (bread wheat). RNAcentral's name for it is "partial small subunit ribosomal RNA". The record is from RNAcentral. Lineage: Eukaryota; Viridiplantae; Streptophyta; Magnoliopsida; Poales; Poaceae.
AUGAACUGUGUGCGAAACUAUUUCACUCCCCUGACCUUUUUGUGUAGCGCCCGCCACGCCGGCGCCACAUCCUACUGUGCAGCGCCUACCUCGGCGGCGUUGCACUCCUGUCCACCGUGGCAGCCCCUGGGCCCGCACCCAGCAGUGCAGCGCCUCCGGGCUAGGCGCCACACAUGUAAUGUGCAGCGCCUAGCGGCUAGGCGCUGCACUUUGACUUAUCCAGCCACUUGGCUGGGCCCCCCUCCCCCACCCCCCCCACACCACACACUCUCUCACUCUCUCCCCGAGCUUUGCCCCCUCUCCCACUCUCUCCCCCCUCUCAAAUCUUCUUCCAAAUCUUGCAAAUUUGAAGAAUUUGUCCGUGGAUUUCGAAGUCAAACCCUCCCUCAAGGUAUGGUGGCUUCUCAACCCAACAAACCAACGAUGAAGGAGGAUGGCGAAGAUGAGAUGGCGGGAUGGUGGGAGAAGGCUGCGAAGAAGCUUAGAGAGGAGGAUGCAGCCAAGCUAAAGAAGAAGAAGGAAGAGGAGCUUGAGAAGGAGAGGAAGCGAAAACAGACUGCGGCAAAUGCGAUGCGCGCUAGGGAGCAAGCGUUGAUGAGGAAAGUUGAGGAGGCACAGAAGAAGCGUCAACAGGAUUUUGAAGAAAGAACCAUGAAGCUUUGGGCAAUUGCAGCUGAAAAAGAAGAGAGGGACAAUCAGAUAUUCAUGGAGAGGGUGGUUAAGGAGGCUCACCUCAUAAGAAAAAGGGAGGAGGAAGAGGAAGAAGAGAGGAAGAAGAAGAAGGGAAAGGGGCCUUGCUCUACGCAAUAG